ACACUCCUGCGGGAGGCAGCAGUGGGGAAUUUUGGACAAUGGGCGAAAGCCUGAUCCAGCAAUGCCGCGUGAGUGAAGAAGGCCUUCGGGUUGUAAAGCUCUUUUGUCAGGGAAGAAACGGUGAGAGCUAAUAUCUCUUGCUAAUGACGGUACCUGAAGAAUAAGCACCGGCUAACUACGUGCCAGCAGCCGCGGUAAUACGUAGGGUGCAAGCGUUAAUCGGAAUUACUGGGCGUAAAGCGUGCGCAGGCGGUUUUGUAAGUCUGAUGUGAAAUCCCCGGGCUCAACCUGGGAAUUGCAUUGGAGACUGCAAGGCUAGAAUCUGGCAGAGGGGGGUAGAAUUCCACGUGUAGCAGUGAAAUGCGUAGAUAUGUGGAGGAACACCGAUGGCGAAGGCAGCCCCCUGGGUCAAGAUUGACGCUCAUGCACGAAAGCGUGGGGAGCAAACAGGAUUAGAUACCCGGGUAGUCCC
RNAcentral lists this ribosomal RNA (472 nucleotides) under uncultured organism. RNAcentral describes it as "partial 16S ribosomal RNA". It matches the Rfam family "Bacterial small subunit ribosomal RNA", at positions 333 to 797 of the family's 1533-position model. The record is from RNAcentral.